This 2354-nucleotide long non-coding RNA is filed under the name Gossypium barbadense (sea-island cotton). Its description in RNAcentral is "long non-coding RNA (GBAR_LNC012630)". The record is from RNAcentral. Lineage: Eukaryota; Viridiplantae; Streptophyta; Magnoliopsida; Malvales; Malvaceae.
CCACAUCACAAGAGAUAAUAACAUACAUGCAUAAGAAUAAUCAUAUGGGCCCAUAACGAUAUUAGCCGACAUAGGCCAAUUUACAUGACUAAUACUACCUUAAUAACAAGCCAAUGCCUUUGGCUAAAUCAUAAUAUUACAAUACUACCUUAAUAACAAGCCAAUGCCUUUGGCUAAAUCAUAAUAUUACAUACUCACAUUAAAACCCUAUACAUGCCAUAGACUAGAAUCACUUGAGUUUACUUACGCCGAUAGCGUUAACUCGACAGUGUGAUAAUAUCUCUGACGGCCUCCAACCCGAUCUAACCUAGAAACUCUAGAAAACAUGGGAAAGAAGGGGGUAAGCUUUCGCUUAGUAAGUUCAUAUGAAAACAAUAAGCAACUCAUUAACUUGUUUUAUCAAUGUUUACAACAUAUUCUCAAGUUCACUACAAGCUGUCUUCCUGAUCAGCAAUCACUAAAUUAUUUAUAUCUGGAGCUAAGAAACUCAAAAUUAAGUUCCGUUAAUUUUCCCCGAAACUAGACUCAUUUAUCUUUCUUCCAUAAAAUUUCCAGAAUUUUUGACUUAGCGAGUUAGUACAGUUUAUUCCUCAAGUUUGCUCCUGAUUCACUGUCUGACAGUUUCAACCCUUCUGCACUAAAGUUAAAUUAUCUCAUAGUACAGGACCCGACUAAUGUUCUCGUCUAUGUCUCUUGAAACUAGACUCAUAUGUCUAAUUACUAAUGUUUUUCUAGAAUUUUUGGUCAAGCCAUUUAGUACAGUUUAUUAGUUAAAGUUUCCCCUGUUUCAGGGUAUGACUACUCUGACCCUUAUGUACUUCAAACUGAAUUUAUCCCUGUACAUAAUUCCAAUGAUCAUGCUGUUUGUUUUCCUUAAAGAUAGACUCAAUAAAGAAUCCAUGCAUGUAAGGUAUGACUCUUAAUAAUUUUUUACAAUUUACGGUGAAUUUAUAAAAUCAGAACAAGGGAUCUCGAAUUCAUUCAGACCCUGUUCACGAGAAUUUAAAUAUCACACAAUAUAGAAUUCUUUUUCUUCCUCUAUUUCUUUCAUGUGAAAAUAUACUCAUUAAGCUUUAAUCCCAUAUUUUAUUCUUCCUCUAACUCAUUUUCCACUAUUUUUAGUGUAUUUUCAAAGUUACACUACUGCAGUAACUCAAAUCUGUCAAGGCUAAGUUACUCAUUCAUGGUCAUUGUUCAUAAUAUUAAUACAACACCAUUUUCUCCAUCAUGGUAAGAACACAUAUUAUGCAUCAUAGAUCAUCACAUAUCAAGGCAUUCUCAUAGGCUUAGUAUACAUACUUGCACAACUCGUAACAGUACUCGAGUGCAUACUCACCAAUGACUUACCUCAUUGGGACCAUCAUCAACUCUUUCCUUGGAUUGCCCGUUGAACACUUGGAAUACUAAUUGGAUACUCGGAAAAGCCUUUGCACAUAAGUGCCUUAAUUGUAGCUAAAGCUAUCUCAUAUCUCAUGACAUUUCAAUGCUCACUAUCGAGCUAGUCAUCUAGACUCAUACAUGUCACUCAUAUCCUAAUUUAUUUCUAAGGUUCAAACGGGAUUUUUCCUUGCCUAUUAAGGCUUUGUCUUAUCAUAUUUCUGUUAAUCACAUACACAUUAAUAUUUGUACAAUUCAUGUAAUGAUAACAUUUAAAUACAUGUAUAGCAUGGUAUUGUUUACAUACGAACUUACCUCGAUACCACAAAGGUGAAAAGACAUACUCGUCCAUAAAUUGAUUUCUUUCUGUUCUAGGUCCAAAUCUCAAUUUUCAUCAUCUAUAACAUCAAUUUAGCCUAACAAUCAGUCACAAUAUUCAUAUGGGUCUAAAAGUCAUAUUUUUACGAAUUUUCAUUUUGACACCUAAACUUUUGCAUAUUUGCACUUUUGCCCCAAUGCUCGUAAAUUAAUUUUAUCACAUUUCUUUACUCCUUGAGUCUAGAUGAACCAUUUUCAUAACUAUAGCAACUCAUAAUUUCAACUAUUUUACACAUUUACAACUCAUUUUACAACUUAGCAAUUUAGCCCUUUUUAGGGUAUUUUCAUGCAAUUUCUUUCACAAAAGUUGUUUAUUAGACAACUAGGACUCAUAAUUUUCCAUAAAAACACAGAAAAAAACACAUUUACUCUCAUGGUAAAACCCUAGACUCUUCAUCAUUUUGCAAAAUAAUCCCCUCUUAUGAAAGCUCAUGCUUUAGGGGUUCCAAAAAUGUAAAAAUCAUCAAGCAAAGACAUUAAAAUCACUUACUAUAAAGGGAGUUUCUUUGCUGAAAGUUUCCAGCUUCUAAACCCUUUCUUUGCUGCCAUUUUUCGGUGGAGAGAAGAUGAAGAAAAGAUGAUAUUUUCUUUUCUUUAUU